Molecule: long non-coding RNA, 366 nt
Filed under: Equus asinus (donkey)
Lineage: Eukaryota; Metazoa; Chordata; Mammalia; Perissodactyla; Equidae
Description: lncRNA (ENSEASG00005031845.1)
Source: RNAcentral
GUGAGAGAGUUUCCAGAAGAGAUUAGCAUUUGAAUCAGCAGACUGAGUAAAGAUCACCCUCACCCAUGCAGGUGGCCAUCAUUCUUUGAGGGCCUGAACAGAACAAAAAGGCAGAGGAAGGAAGAAGUUGCUUUCUCUGUUUAAGCUGGGAUGGGCAUCUUCUCCUGUCAUCAGAGGAUGCAGCUUGCCUUGUUCCAUACUUGUGCUGGCCAAAUUCAAGGAUGGCGAAAAGACUUAGAAGUGACAAAUACAUUUGCACAUUCAACUAACAGAACAGAAGGAGGCUAGAAAAAUCAGGUUGUAGAAAGCUUCUGAUCUGGCUGGGUGCCCUGACAUGAAUUGCAGAUUCUCUGUGCUCCUUUCGAG